Sapajus apella (tufted capuchin) is the source of this 542-nucleotide RNA transcript. It is a transcript of the gene named lipase maturation factor 1 pseudogene, with no coding region annotated. The record is from RefSeq and is a predicted model, not a curated record. The transcript is spliced from 3 exons. Lineage: Eukaryota; Metazoa; Chordata; Mammalia; Primates; Cebidae.
AUGCAGACACUCACCCCAAACCAGCACGCGCGUCUACACAGACACGGACCCCAAACCAGCUUCCUGCGCGCAGCAGUAGGCACCAAGCCUGUGGCGUGUGCUGGGAGAGACCCGCCGACCGUAGCCAGGGUCACCGGGUCAUGCUCAUUUUGUCUUCUUUUUCUUCCAGUUGUGGCGUUCCUGGUGGCUUUCCAUCAGAACAAGCAGCUGAUCGGAGACAGGGGCCUGCUCCCCUGCAGCGCGUACCUGAGGAGCGUCCAGCAGUACUUCCGGGGCAGGGUGGGCUGGGACGCCCUCAGCUAUGCGCCCACCGUCCUCUGGCUGAUGGACUGGUCAGACAUGAACUCCAACCUGGACUUGCUCGCUCUCCUGGGACUGGGCGUCUCGGCCUUCGUGCUGAUCACGGGCUGUGCCAACAUGCUUCUCAUGGUGGCCCUCUGGGGCCUCUACAUGUCCCUGGUCAAUGUGGGCCAGAUCUGGUGAGUAGGAGGAGCGGGCGGUUGGGGAUCAGGGCUUCUGUCACUCAUCUUACUAAGGCCGAG